UAUAAAGUGUCUUGUACAAUCGAGGCUGUUGCCUGGCUCAGCAUGUGCAAUGCUUGGAAGGUGUGUAGUGAGUAAGGCAGGAGGCUGAGGAAAGAGAAAGAAGGAUAGCAAGGAAAUCCAUGACCUCUGUGCAGCCCCAUGUAGAUCCAGGAUGCUUGGUUGCUACAAUGCUGGUAGAGUGUGGAGUAGGGUCUGCAAUUCCAGGAACACAUACUGUGAUCACAAAUGGAGUCCUUUCAUCACCUUGCUGGCAUUUCAAGCAGGGAGCAGACAGCUGGUCAACCUAACCCCAGAGCAGUAGAGUGGAUGCAGGUAAAGAAACAGGAUGUUUCCGGUGUGAAGUAUGCAAUAGCAUUGGGAGGACUGCCAGGAGUGAAAAAGUUUGUGAUUUUAAGCCAUGAUAACUUGAUUUUAAAACUUACUGUGGCAGGCACAGAGCCACGAGGAGAGACUUACCUUGGAUGAGGGACAAGCAGAGCCGGUGGGAUGCUAUGCUGAGCUGGGAGCGUGGUGAAAAUGAAACUAUGGAAGGAGACGAUGCCGCAUCAAAGAGAAAAAAAAAAAAGGAACCAUGGAGCUGGGAGGAGCCAGGACUGGCUCCCACGCGGGCAUGGGCACGCUUUAUGGUGCUGCGCUGGCGCUGAUUCACUGGCCAGUCCCUUGGAGCCGGGAUAAAAAGCCCGAUGGAAGAGAGGUGCGGGGGGCCAGAAGUAGAUUCCCUAGUGGGCCCGGAGCAGGACCGAGCCCCACCAAGGGAAGUGGUGGCUGCCCUGGAAAGGGGCACAUAAAGAUAAGCCAAGCCCUAGAGGGCUGAAGGACUCGCCCAAAAAGACGCCGUUGACUCCAGACAUCUCCAGACAGGAUUGGACCCAGCAGGAACCUGAGGAGAGAAGGAGUGAUAAAUGUCUAUACCACAGCAAGUACAGACCCAAAAGAGGGGGAGAUUUGCCGGGGAGCAAGGUAACUCAGGGUCAGGUAGGAGUUUGGGCCAGACCACAUAUGGCUUGUGAAGAACCAGAUGAGACAACGUCCAAAUCCAGUUAACAUAAUUCAAAGGCCAGGAUAUCAGAGCCUGUUUCGGACUGGACUGAGGAAACAAGAGAAUAACAUCUUUGGUUGGCGUUAGGUGGGGUGUAGGGCAGGCGGAGCUCCAAACAGGAAGACAGAUGGAAAGAUUGAAGGAAGGGACCAGGAGGCAGGACAUACCAUCUUCCUCCCAAUUAAACUAAUUUUUCCUUCAAGACGUGGCAGGAGAGAACUCCUGAAGACCUUCUGAAUUCUAACCCUCUAAUGAGCUGUUCUCUCAAGCAACGGCGAAACCAGAAAACCCCCUAUGAAUAAUGCAUGCUGGUGAGUGGCACAGGAAAUUGCACUCACCAUAAAUACUCUUGGCAUUCCAAAAAUGUUAACUUUUCCAGUGGCUAACUCUGUCUUUUAUAUGUUGAUACUAUUAGUGAUGAUGCAAGUUAAUGUCUGAUGAGUGGGGUAGUCCCAAGUAUAUUUUCAUCACCCAGAAAUCAACCGCUACUGAGCAAAGUGUUGAUCUGUACCUUCUAGAUCCCUGGAGUCCAUAGGAAAUGUCUUGCUGGCUUCAAUAAAAACAGUAUUUGGCCCCUUUAGGUAUUCAUCUUUCUUGUCA
This is a long non-coding RNA of Alligator sinensis (Chinese alligator), 1639 nucleotides long. RefSeq lists it as uncharacterized. The transcript is spliced from 3 exons. The record is from RefSeq and is a predicted model, not a curated record. Lineage: Eukaryota; Metazoa; Chordata; Crocodylia; Alligatoridae.